RNAcentral lists this ribosomal RNA (253 nucleotides) under uncultured bacterium. RNAcentral describes it as "partial 16S ribosomal RNA". It matches the Rfam family "Bacterial small subunit ribosomal RNA", at positions 524 to 776 of the family's 1533-position model. The record is from RNAcentral.
UACAGAGGUCCCGAGCGUUGUUCGGAUUCAUUGGGCGUAAAGGGUGCGUAGGCGGGGAAGUAAGUUUGGUGUGAAAUCCCGGGGCUCAACCUCUGGACUGCAUUGAAUACUGCAUCCCUAGAGUACUGGAGAGGAAACUGGAAUUUACGGUGUAGCAGUGAAAUGCGUAGAGAUCGUAAGGAAGACCAGUGGCGAAGGCGAGUUUCUGGACAGUUACUGACGCUGAGGCACGAAGGCCAGGGGAGCAAACGGG